GUAGGGAAUUUUCGUCAAUGGGGGAAACCCUGAACGAGCAAUGCCGCGUGAGUGAAGAAGGUCUUCGGAUCGUAAAGCUCUGUUGUAAGUGAAGAACGGCUCAUAGAGGAAAUGCUAUGGGAGUGACGGUAGCUUACCAGAAAGCCACGGCUAACUACGUGCCAGCAGCCGCGGUAAUACGUAGGUGGCAAGCGUUAUCCGGAAUCAUUGGGCGUAAAGGGUGCGUAGGUGGCGUACUAAGUCUGUAGUAAAAGGCAAUGGCUCAACCAUUGUAAGCUAUGGAAACUGGUAUGCUGGAGUGCAGAAGAGGGCGAUGGAAUUCCAUGUGUAGCGGUAAAAUGCGUAGAUAUAUGGAGGAACACCAGUGGCGAAGGCGGUCGCCUGGUCUGUAACUGACACUGAGGCACGAAAGCGUGGGGAGCAAAUAGGA
RNAcentral lists this ribosomal RNA (430 nucleotides) under uncultured bacterium. RNAcentral's name for it is "bacterial SSU rRNA". It matches the Rfam family "Bacterial small subunit ribosomal RNA", at positions 354 to 777 of the family's 1533-position model. The record is from RNAcentral.